CAUCUCUACUUAACUUACCCAGCUGCAAGCUCAGCACUGUAUUUGGCUCCUUUCAAACCUUCUCAAGGGAUACCUUGACAGCUCACAGGGCCAGGGGGCUCCAAGGCCCAUUUUGCAGGGAAUGCCACGCGCUGUUUGUUUCUGAUCGGUCGAGAGACACAGACUUGAAAUGAGGGGCACAAACCUAAGACCUAGGAUCUGAGUUCGGUUCCCAGUCCAGAACCCACUAUGGACUCCUCACAUCACCUAUAAUGCCAGCUCCAAGGGAUCGAUGCUUCUGGCAUCCUUGAGUCCUUGUGUCUGAGCACUUGAAAGUCUGGGGCAGCAAAUGAGAGACUCUUUCCUCCCAAGCUGGCAUCUGAGGCAGCACACCUGUUGGGACUCUAGCCAUUCCAAUCGCCCUUUGAGCCCUGCUGAGAUAUCGCUGGCAUUCCAGACCAGCUGGCGCCGUCAUUUCUAACAAGCAAGACUUGGAUUCUAUAUGAGGGAUCCAGUACAGAAAGGGACGAGGUACACACUUGUCACCGUAUCUAAUGCACCACAGGAACCCUCCCAGCCCUGAACAAUGCUCAGAAUGCCGUGUAUGCACAGCCUCGGAAUGAAACUUCCCAAUCCCUUCUAUCCUGCCAGGACACCAGCUGACCUCAGCCACUGACGAUCACGAUGGCAGGUUGUGCUUCCUCUUAAGCAGUGACAUCAACCUCAUCAUAAACCCUGUUAUCAGAUCGAAGACCCUCUCUUCCUCUCAGCUUCAAAACAGUGACAGGAAAUGGAAAAGGGGAAAACACGUGGGAGCCUGAAGCCAGCCGCUAAGCCUCUAGCCGCACAGGAAGGAAAUGACACAGGACACCUGUGCAGCAGCAGGAGCCAGGCUGGCCCCACUCGGAUGUCAUGUAAACAGGGGCUGCACUGUGAUCUCAGACUGAGCAAUGUCCCCACCCACUCAGGCUAGUAACGUGGCUCCUAGAAGUUCCCAUCCGCACACCCUCUCCUCCUUCCAGAAGAUUCUCUUAGGACACAAGUGCUUGCCUUAUCCCUGGGAGUCAUGAACAAAUGGGACAUCAGCGACAGACCAGGGAAUAGUUCCACCCUUGUCCAGCCUGUGAAGCAGUGAGUUUGCUGGACUUACAACAGCUUGGGUGGGAGUUAUUCAAAGGCAGCCACAUCACUGGGAAGUCCCAUCCCGACAUGGGUUAGGACUCAUGAGAGCUACCUCCCGGGAGCUCUGAUUCCCUAACUCUCCAUCUCCCAUAGAAUCCAGCACUAUCAAACCAUGAGCAGCUGGGAGGCAGGAAGGAGUAAUGGUUGGGAUCCCGGAUGAGAUAUACUGAGCCGCCCCUUCUCCUAUUAGGAAGUGCUGUCAGUACCAUUGCCUGAGCCCUUGCAGUCUCUGUGAUUUUCUGCUUAAUUUCAUUGUAUGGCUGUGGGCCAUGCAUUUGUGGGGCGACAAGAGUAACCUUUACGCCAUGAUGGCUGAUGGUCAUGUCACACCUGGAGGAAAUUCCUUCACCCUACAGAAGCUGAAACACUAAAUCAGAGACUGAUGCUCAGGGUUUGCUUCUAAUUAAUUAAGCCAGUGGUCAAAUCAUGGACAAAUCAAAACAAGAUGCUGUUAAAUUAUUUGGGAUCUUUUCCGGCUAGAUCAUGGCCAAGGAGAACUGAGUCUGCUUGUGACUGCACUUGUGUUUUUCUAUAACAAAUUUGUUUUUAAUCUUGUUUUUAUUUUAGUUUUGAGUUCUUAAAUUACUUUUUCAAGAUAGGGUUUCCCUGUGUAGCCCUGGCUCUCCUGAAACUCACUCUGUAGACCAGGCUGGCCUCGAACUUGAGAUCCACCUGCCUCCCUAGUGCUGGGAUUCACAACCACUGCCCAGCUGAGUUCUCAAAAUUUUUUUUUGAGAUUUAUUUCUUGUGUAUGAGUGUUUUGCUUGCAUGUAUGUCUGUGCAGUGUGCACAUACAGUACCCGCAGAGACCAAGAGAGGGCAUUUGUUCUCCUGGAACUGGAGUUACAGAUGUGUGUGAGCCAUCAUGUGGGUGCUGGGGGUCAAACCCAGGUCCUCUGCAAGUGCAACAAGUGCUCUUAACCCAUGAGCCACAUCUUCAGCCCUGGUUUUGGGGGUUUGAGACAAGGUCUCUUGUAGCCUCAAGCUUAGUAUGUAGACAAGGAUAAUCUGGAAGUAGCUCCUGAUAGGCCUUUUUCUCCCAAGUGCUGGGAUUUAAGGUGUGUACCACCAUGCCCAAAUAAUAAACUUGUUUUGUUUUUAAAGGAAGACUAGAGGCCUGGAGAGAUUGCCCAGCGGUGAAGACCACUUGUUACCACUCUUCCGGAGGACUGAGGUUCAGCUCCCAGUACCCACGUGGUAACUUGAAACCAAAGGCAACUCCAGUUCCAGGGAAUCUAACGGCCUCUGCUGGCCUCCAAAGACACUAGGUAUGCAUAUAUGCAUGCAGAAUAGUCACACUCACACACACACGCACACACACACACACACACACACACACACACAAAGGUGGGUGUGUCUCAGUAAAGCGCAUGCACUAGGAUAUGCAUAUUUCCAAUCUCUAGCACCUGUUAAUCACACACUUUUGAGACAAAUCUGAAGCAAGCUUUAAUUAAACACUUGCCAGGAUGAUGGUUUCUGGCCAGGCCCAUUUCUGGGUUUCCAGAAAAUGGUGACAAGUCACAUUCUGCAGAGGCUUAUGAAGGCAAACCCAUAAGGCUAUGUAUUUCCUGCUAGGUGCAGUCAGGGGCAAGCAAACAUCCUGACGUACUUCCUGCCUACAUCUGUGAUCAAGCACAUCUGGUGCAAUCGGGUCAAACAAGCUUGUUCGGGGGAGAGAAAACUCGUGGCUUGUUAUCUUACAUAAACAAUAGCCUCCAGCAUCUCAGGAAGUAUCUGUCCUUGAGCAUUCGGCUUACAGGUUAGAAGCGUUUUUUUUGUUUUAUGGAUCUCUUAGGCACAGUAAUUAAAACUUGAAAAAAAAAUGAGAUUUGAAACUAGAGAGAUGCUCAAUAGUUAAAGGCACUCGUUCUUUUAGGGGGCCAGGGUUCAAUUCCCAGCACUCACUGGAGGGUAACUCCAGCAGCAGGGCAUUCAGUGUCCGAUUAUGGCCUUGGUGGACACCAGGGCACCAGACAAACAUACAAGCAAAACAUUUAUACACAUAAAAAUGAAGUAAAUGUAACAACAACAAGAAAAUAACAAUAAGAAAAUCUGGUUCAGUGGUUCUCUGGUCCCCAAAAUCCCUUUUCCCAAAGUCUGGCAUUUAGACAAAAGCCAGCAUCCCCUCAGGGACUUGAGAAAAUAAUUUCUACCUGCUGAAUCAUUCUUCUUACUUCUGGCUCUUCCAGUAACAAACGUCUGUGGUGUCUGUUAGCGUAACAAGGCCUAGCUUCCAGGCUCCGUCAGUCCCCGGUCACACUACAUUUUACACACUUCAAAGCCCUCCUUUCUGGUUCCCCUCCUCCCAGGGACCUGUUCCCUUAAAACCCUGAAAAUCCUUCCCCUGGAAAUACACACACACACACACACACACACUUUACUGAGAGACAGCCUUGGCAGUUUGGAAUAAACUUUUCCUUUUGAAGACACAGGGAAGCUAUUUUGGUUUCCUUACUGUGCCCAUUUUAGAGGUGAGAACCUGAAGCCCGAGCAAUGUGGAGGUAGAGACAGGAGGAUCCCUGAGGCUCACUCUGGGUUCAGGGAGAGGCCGUCUCAAAUACUAAGGUGAAGGGCUGCAGAGAAUGCUCAGUGGUUAAGAGCUCUUGUUGCUCUUGGGGGUGCGGGUAGGGGAGGUGGACCUGAGUUUGAUUCCCAGCGCUCAUUUGGCAGUCCAGGGUCAUCCACAGUUCCGGGUCUGAUGCUCUGUUCUGACCGCCUUGGCACCAUAACACACACAUGGUACAAAAUACAACAUAAAAUGAAAUUAAUAAGUCUUUUUUAAGAUUGGAAAAAGAAAGUGGAGCUUGCCAGAGGAAGAAACCCAAUCCUGCUGUCUGGCCUCCACACAUGCAUACUUGUGCUCUCUCACACUCAGACAUGCACACACGUAAACACAUGAACACUUAUACACACUCACCAAAAAAGUAAAAUAAAAAAGAAGGCUCGUAUCUCUCUCUCUCUCUUUUGUUUUCUUUCUAUUUAUUGCUUUCACUUUAUGUGUGUGGGUAUUUUGCCUGCAUGACUGUCUGCACGUCACGUUCGUGCAUGUGUGCACCAAGUCCAUGCAUCUGUGUGUGAAGCAUCCUCCAGUCUCUAUCUGCUGCAAGGGCCCUCCUGGCUGGCGUACCCCAGUGCCUACUCUAAACUCUAGCCUAGGGGCCUGGGCCGCUCUCUCCUAUUUAAUCCAACCACUUUGGUUACCUGCUCUCUUUGUACUUUUGGCCUCCUGGCUGCUGCACCUGGUCCCCUCUCACCUUCCCCUUCCCCUGUCCUCACAUGGCACAGCUCAGUCUGGCCGUGUCCACUCUGGGCUCUCCCAGGUGACCCUGCCUCUGGCUGAGCUCUCCCUAAGUCUAUAAUAAGCUUCUCCUCCACCAUGCCUAGGAGCAGUCAUGCUUUUCUUUUUCUUUUUCUUUUUUAAACCCCUUCACAAAGGUGAAGCAAAGGGGAGGACUGGGCUGCCCCAGGCCAGAAAGUUCUAGGAUAUAAAUCUCCCAAACCUGUAAUCUCUCCAACCCAGAAAACUUUGACUUAUGCAAAGCCCAGACUUCAUUUCUAGAACUUUCUGGAGAAUAUUGUACCCUUUGGGUACAAGCUACCCUUGAAAAAACAAAACAUUUUCGACUAAGGAAGCUCCUGAAGCCUCACCAGAAUAGGCGUGGCUGCCAUUCCAGGAUGGUGAUUAGAGAGACAUGGGAUGGCAAAAGGUAGAGGGAAGGACUAAUCACUGCUCCUGGGGAAGAACAAAGAAAGGGGACAAGUGACCCCCAAGUCUGUUUGUUUGUUUGAGCCUCUGGGGGAGAGGAAGCCCCACCCCUGGGCUGGAAAGUUCAGCAUAGAGGGCAAGGUAUGCCAGCCAUGCCCUGUAUGGCUGGGAAAACCUGGAGGCCAGGUUGGCUUUGGAAUGUUAAAUAGGCGCCUCAGCCACUUAAAAAAAAUAAAAUAAAAUCUCUGGGAGUCCCCUCCCUCUGAACAGCCUGAGCUCUUUUGGAGUGUCCCACUGCCUCAAAGCACAAGCCCCUCCGGAGCACUGCUGCCUCUUCACAGAAUACAUCAACAGACCAUUCUCUGUCUCUCCCUACUUUGGGUGUGAGAACUGGUUUUUGCUAUUUUACUAUUAAAAGUAUGUUGCCUGCCAAAGGCAAAUAUUCCAUAAAUCACCUACUCUCCGCCCCCCCCC
This is a long non-coding RNA of Meriones unguiculatus (Mongolian gerbil), 5341 nucleotides long. RefSeq lists it as uncharacterized. The transcript has 3 exons. NCBI's taxonomy places the organism in Eukaryota, Metazoa, Chordata, Mammalia, Rodentia, Muridae. The record is from RefSeq and is a predicted model, not a curated record.